RNAcentral lists this long non-coding RNA (2619 nucleotides) under Canis lupus familiaris (dog). RNAcentral's name for it is "lncRNA (ENSCAFG00845030001.1)". The stretch from base 232 to 327 matches the Rfam family "mir-8799 microRNA precursor family". The record is from RNAcentral. Lineage: Eukaryota; Metazoa; Chordata; Mammalia; Carnivora; Canidae.
UUUUUUUUUUUUUUUUUUUAAUUUUUAUUUAUUUUUGACAGUCAUACAGAGAGAGAGAGAGAGAGAGGCAGAGACACAGGCAGAGGGAGAAGCAGGCUCCAUGCACCGGGAGCCCGACGUGGGAUUCGAUCCCAGGUCUCCAGGAUCGCGCCCUGGGCCAAAGGCAGGCGCCAAACCACUGCGCCACCCAGGGAUCCCCUGUACUGUGUCUUCCUGGCCUCCUCCUGUCCCAAGGGGAGCACCGGAUCCUGGGCUGUGUCCCCCAGCGCCUUGGGUUCCAUGUCCUGCACUGCUGGAAUCUCCCUCCCGAGGGGCGCGCAGCCCCCUCCGUGGGGAGCUGCCGCCUGAGCUGCUCCCGAGGGCCCGCGGGGCAUGCACUCCGGCCCUUUAGGGAGCUCCACCCGAGGUGUGUGGCACGCUCUCCCCUGGGGCACACUUCCUCUAUUAGAGACCCCAGGAACCUGGAGGCUCCACUGCCCCUCCUGGGAUCCUGCCCGAGUUGCCUGCAAGCCUUUCCCUCCAGGAAGAUCGAUAAAGUUUCUGCUUCUCCCGGACUGGGCUUUCAUGCCCUGGAGGCUCUCGCUGCCCAGCCUUAGCUGGGCUCCUCAUGAGGGCUCCUCCCUCUUGAAUGAUUUUUUUUUUCCAUCUUCCUACCUUGUUAGAGGCACAAACUGUUCUCACUGCAGCAUUCCAGCUGUUCUCUCUUUAAAUCUCAGGCCGAAUUACUAGGUUUUCGGGAUUAUUUGGAAGUUAUCUAGAUAAGUUGGUGGGGACAGGUGACUUGGGGAUCCUACUCUUCCGACAUCUUGCCCCACCUCCCCAAGAUUUUUUUUAAACUAGAAUAAAGUCAUAACAUCCCAGAAAAAUAGAAGAGUGCCAUCCACAGAUCAUAAAUAGUGGGCAAUCUCCAAAGGAACAGAAAACAAUAGAUCACAUCCACAGGGAAACAAAAUCUAUGGAAACCAAAGCUUCAAACACAUACGUGGAGAAUACUACUACAAAGUUAGGAUUUAUUUGGGAAGCACCAAACCUACUCACAGUGGAUACUAAAACAUGAAGUGGCUUUGGGGAAUUCAUCUGGAUGAUUAAAUGGGAAGGUAAAGGGGGAACAACCAGGCAAUUCUACCCAACCCAAACCUCUUUUGUGCAACAUAAGCAGCAAUGAAGUUUGCCCAAAAACUCAAACAGGAUCUGAACCAGAAAACCAGGAAUCACCAAACCCCUGAGAAACACCAAAGCUUAGAAAAAGAGAAGCACCGAACUCAAUAAAGUCUUUCUGACAAUUAACUUGAAGUAGGUAUUUAAUGCUGCCUGGCAGUCUUACUACCAUUUAUUUUAUCAUUCUCUUAGAAAACUAAUUUAUACCUUCUCCUCUCGCCUCAAACUUUUAACACAUACUCCCUCCCUCAAAUUCAUGCUCUGAUGAUGACCAUGCUUCUAUUUCAUCGAGAAAAUAAAAAAGAAACAAGAAAAGAAUUGCCAUAAGCUCCCACUACCACAUCUACUCACCUAUUAUCAUUUAUGCCCACACUCUCUGCCUUCACCCAUACUAUUAGGGGCAACCUGUCUGGGCUACUAUGCUAAGGCCAAACCCUCUAUUUAGAAACUAAACUUCAUCUCCUCUCACCUUCUCAAGAACAUCACUCCAGUAAUUCUCCUUUCUCUUUCCUAUAUGGCCAAUUUUCCCCUCACUUUGAAAUCAUUCCUAUUAUGAGACUGUAUCCCCAUUAAAACAAACCCUCACAAUCAGAAUCCAUUGAGCUAUGACCAAUUAUGAUGCUAGGGCAGGGAGGAAUUGAAUUAGCCUAUAAUAACUUGUUGUAAGAUAAGUUACAUUGUGUAAAUGUAGGUUCAAAGAAUGAUGGGGACAUGUCAAAAGUGUAAAGGAACAAGCUUGAAGAGGAUCCUACUAGCUUAAUAUGAGAUAGCUGAUGCAUCAAAAUAAUGAUACUAAUGAGUUAAAACCCAUAGAAUAAAAUAAAAAUCUCAGCAUAAUACCCUCCAGUUCCAUCCACGUUGAAGCAAAUGGUGGGUAUUUGUCAUUUCUAAUAGCUGAGUAAUAUUCCAUUGUAUACAUAAACCACAUCUUAUGCUGAGUGAAGUAAGUCAGUCGGAGAAGGACAAACAUUAUAUGUUCUCAUUCAUUUGGGGAAUAUAAAUAAUAGUGAAAGGGAAAAUAAGGGAAGGGAGAAGAAAUGUGUGGGAAAUAUCAGAAAGGGAGACAGAACGUAAAGACUGCUAACUCUGGGAAACGAACUAGGGGUGGUAGAAGGGGAGGAGGGCGGGGGGUGGGAGUGAAUGGGUGACGGGCACUGGGUGUUAUUCUGUAUGUUAGUAAAUUGAACACCAAUAAAAAAAAAUAAAUAUAAAAAAAAUAAUAAAAUAAAAUAAAAUAAAAUAAAAAUCUCUGUUACACAUUUAAAUAAAUCAAUUAAUAAAUAAAUGGCAAAGAAUGGAAAGCUGUAAUCUAAAUAAUAAAUACAGAAUUUGAAAAAUACCAUCUGCAAUCACCAUAGUAAAAACUGUUAUAGGCAACAAUCUUCAAAUGGCUACCAAAACUGUGAAUAAAGGUUUAUGAUAAACAUAGUCUCAAAGUAACUCCCCACAAAUUACUUAAUU